UGGCUCAGUGGAUAGAGCAUUGGCCUGCCAACUCAAGGAUCCCAGAUUCGAUUCUGG
This 57-nucleotide transfer RNA is filed under the name Myotis davidii. It matches the Rfam family "tRNA", at positions 8 to 63 of the family's 71-position model. Rfam says of the family: Transfer RNA (tRNA) molecules are approximately 80 nucleotides in length. Their secondary structure includes four short double-helical elements and three loops (D, anti-codon, and T loops). The record is from Rfam by way of RNAcentral. Lineage: Eukaryota; Metazoa; Chordata; Mammalia; Chiroptera; Vespertilionidae.